AGUAAUGUAUGGGGAUCUGCCUGAUGGCGGGGGAUAACUACUGGAAACGGUAGCUAAUACCGCAUAAUGUCUGCGGACCAAAGCGGGGGACCUCCGGGCCUCUUGCCAUCGGAUGUGCCCAGAUGGGAUUAGCUAGUAGGUGGGGUAACGGCUCACCUAGGCGACGAUCCCUAGCUGGUCUGAGAGGAUGACCAGCCACACUGGAACUGAGACACGGUCCAG
This 222-nucleotide ribosomal RNA is filed under the name uncultured bacterium. RNAcentral's name for it is "partial 16S ribosomal RNA". It matches the Rfam family "Bacterial small subunit ribosomal RNA", at positions 109 to 334 of the family's 1533-position model. The record is from RNAcentral.